This is a long non-coding RNA of Nyctereutes procyonoides (raccoon dog), 623 nucleotides long. RefSeq lists it as uncharacterized. The record is from RefSeq and is a predicted model, not a curated record. NCBI's taxonomy places the organism in Eukaryota, Metazoa, Chordata, Mammalia, Carnivora, Canidae. The transcript is spliced from 4 exons.
UGCUGCUGCUUGGGAAUCUGGAACAGCCCUACUGACAUGUUCUGCUCCAUAUCAGGCGGAAGGCUGGCCUGCCCAAGAAUGCCACAGAGAUUCUAAGACUUUAAUCAGCUAGCUUCUUUCAGCCUCUUAUUAUUUGUGUCAUGGGGGUAAAUAUCUUCUAAAUAAAUAUAGAAUAUUGGAUUAUAUAUUUGGAGCAAAUAAGCAUCAGGUGCUAUCAAAGAACUCAAUUCAACUUUAUUGAGAACCUUCCAUAUAAAGAUACUGUGCAGCAGCCUGCAAGGUAAAGAUAUGAGGGAAGAGAAAGUAUACUAAGUGGGAGCCCGGCAAAGGUGUGGAAGUACUGAAGGUCAAAUGAUCCUAUUUGCUAAAUGUAGGACACCUGGAAGAGAGUCCCUGUGACAUAAACUUGGAAAGCAAAUGCUGAUCGAAGCCCGGAGCAGAUGGACGUUCCUCCUGUGGCCACUGUAGCUUGUUACAAAUGGCAGAUCAUAUCACACAUAAAUAUGAGGGCAGCAUCCCAAAGACCAAGACCAGUGAACGUACCGCCAUGCUUCCAGACUUAUCAAGAACUAAACACACAAUUCUUUGUCCGAUCUGCAGCAAUGAGAAUGUGGGUGUCGGUG